GAUGAAGAACGUAGUGAAAUGCGAUAAGUAAUGUGAAUUGCAGAAUCCAGUGAAUCAUCGAAUCUUUGAACGCACAUUGCGCCCGCCAGCAUUCUGGCGGGCAUGCCUGUUCGAGCGUCAUUUCAACCCUCGACCUCUCUUUGGGGAAGUCGGCGUUGGGGACCGGCAGCACACCGCCGGCCCUGAAAUGGAGUGGCGGCCCGUCCGCGGCGACCUCUGCGUAGUAAACCAACUCGCACCGGAACCCCGACGUGGCCACGCCGUAAAACACCCAACUUCUGAACGUUGACCUCGAAUCAGGUAGGACUACCCGCUGAACUUAAGCAUAUCAAUAAGCGGAGGA
Molecule: unclassified non-coding RNA, 343 nt
Filed under: soil metagenome
Description: partial contains 5.8S ribosomal RNA, internal transcribed spacer 2, and large subunit ribosomal RNA
Rfam family: 5.8S ribosomal RNA (bases 1-120)
Source: RNAcentral